CCUACGGGAGGCAGCAGUGAGGAAUAUUGGUCAAUGGGCGAGAUCCUGAACCAGCCAAGCCGCGUGCGGGAUGACGGCCCUAUGGGUUGUAAACCUCUUUUGUCCGAGAACAAAACCCGGGACGUGUCCAGGACUGCGUGUAUCCGAAGAAAAAGCAUCGGCUAACUCCGUGCCAGCAGCCGCGGUAAUACGGAGGAUGCGAGCGUUAUCCGGAUUUAUUGGGUUUAAAGGGUGCGUAGGCGGUCCGUUAAGUCAGCGGUAAAAUUGCGGGGCUCAACCCCGUCGAGCCGUUGAAACUGGCAGACUUGAGUUGACGAGAGGUACGCGGAAUGCGCGGUGUAGCGGUGAAAUGCAUAGAUAUCGCGAAGAACUCCGAUUGCGAAGGCAGCCUACCGGGGUGCGACUGACGCUGAGGCACGAAAGCGCGGGGAUCAAACAGGAUUAGAUACCCUAGUAGUC
This 459-nucleotide ribosomal RNA is filed under the name uncultured bacterium. Its description in RNAcentral is "partial 16S ribosomal RNA". It matches the Rfam family "Bacterial small subunit ribosomal RNA", at positions 338 to 795 of the family's 1533-position model. The record is from RNAcentral.